GUGCUCACUUUAGCAGCAUAUAUACUAAAACAGGAAUGAUAUAGAGAAGAUUAGCAUGGACCCUGCACAAGGGAAAAAAAAGUCGAGGAUUAAAGAAACAUACCCCAAUUUA
Non-coding RNA from Erinaceus europaeus (western European hedgehog), 112 nucleotides. The record is from Rfam. Lineage: Eukaryota; Metazoa; Chordata; Mammalia; Eulipotyphla; Erinaceidae.